UUAAGUUCAGCGGGUAAUCCUACCCGAUUUGAGGUCAAACACUUAACGUAACACUGUCCUCGCGGACGGUUAGAAGCAACCCUUCACAGCUUCAAAACCCAGCGAGUGACUUAUCACACCGGGCAAGCAGAAGCCAUUACUAAGGCCAGCUAAUGCAUUUCGGACGAGCUGAAACCAGGCCAGCAAACAAACGUCCAAGU
RNAcentral lists this unclassified non-coding RNA (200 nucleotides) under fungal sp. Its description in RNAcentral is "partial internal transcribed spacer 2". The record is from RNAcentral. Lineage: Eukaryota; Fungi.